GCUUUUGGUUCAGUGGUAGAAAGCUCGUCUGCCACGCGGGUGCCCCAGGUUCGAUUCCCGGCCGAUGCA
RNAcentral lists this transfer RNA (69 nucleotides) under Cordylochernes scorpioides. Its description in RNAcentral is "tRNA-Gly". The record is from RNAcentral. Lineage: Eukaryota; Metazoa; Arthropoda; Arachnida; Pseudoscorpiones; Chernetidae.